UACGUAGGUGGCAAGCGUUGUCCGGAAUUACUGGGUGUAAAGGGUGCGCAGGCGGGACUGCAAGUUGGAUGUGAAAUACCGGGGCUUAACCCCGGGGCUGCAUCCAAAACUGUGGUUCUUGAGUGGAGUAGAGGUAAGCGGAAUUCCGAGUGUAGCGGUGAAAUGCGUAGAUAUUCGGAGGAACACCAGUGGCGAAGGCGGCUUACUGGGCUCUAACUGACGCUGAGGCACGAAAGCAUGGGUAGCAA
RNAcentral lists this ribosomal RNA (248 nucleotides) under uncultured Faecalibacterium sp. RNAcentral describes it as "partial 16S ribosomal RNA". It matches the Rfam family "Bacterial small subunit ribosomal RNA", at positions 524 to 771 of the family's 1533-position model. The record is from RNAcentral. Lineage: Bacteria; Bacillati; Bacillota; Clostridia; Eubacteriales; Oscillospiraceae.